GAUGAACGCUGGCGGCGUGCCUAAUACAUGCAAGUCGAGCGAACAGACGAGGAGCUUGCUCCUCUGACGUUAGCGGCGGACGGGUGAGUAACACGUGGAUAACCUACCUAUAAGACUGGGAUAACUUCGGGAAACCGGAGCUAAUACCGGAUAAUAUAUUGAACCGCAUGGUUCAAUAGUGAAAGACGGUUUUGCUGUCACUUAUAGAUGGAUCCGCGCCGCAUUAGCUAGUUGGUAAGGUAACGGCUUACCAAGGCAACGAUGCGUAGCCGACCUGAGAGGGUGAUCUGCCACACUGGAACUGAGACACGGUCCAGACUCCUACGGGGGGCAGCAGUAGGGAAUCUUCCGCAAUGGGCGAAAGCCUGACGGAGCAACGCCGCGUGAGUGAUGAAGGUCUUCGGAUCGUAAAACUCUGUUAUUAGGGAAGAACAAAUGUGUAAGUAACUAUGCACGUCUUGACGGUACCUAAUCAGAAAGCCACGGCUAACUACGUG
Molecule: ribosomal RNA, 497 nt
Filed under: uncultured bacterium
Lineage: Bacteria
Description: partial 16S ribosomal RNA
Rfam family: Bacterial small subunit ribosomal RNA
Source: RNAcentral